This 413-nucleotide ribosomal RNA is filed under the name Ptychadena cf. nilotica TRL-2016. RNAcentral's name for it is "partial 12S ribosomal RNA". It matches the Rfam family "Bacterial small subunit ribosomal RNA", at positions 772 to 1395 of the family's 1533-position model. Lineage: Eukaryota; Metazoa; Chordata; Amphibia; Anura; Ptychadenidae. The record is from RNAcentral.
CUGGGGUUAGAUACCCCACUAUGCCCAAUCGUAAACCCUACUCUAUAUAAGUAACGCCAGGAAAUUACGAGUCGAACUUAAAAUCCAAAGGACUUGACGGUGCCCUGACCACUAAAGGAGCCUGCUCUAUAACCGAUUCUGACCGUUAAACCCGGCCAUUUCUUGCUAAUCAGCUUGUAUACUUCCGACUUAGAUACUCACCGUCAAUACGAACUAGAGUGGGCACAAUGUUCUCCUCAACAGAACGUCAGGUCAAGGUGCAGCCUAUGAAGUGGCAAAGGGUGGGCUACAAUCUCUAACAUAGAACAUACGGAACCCUGCAUGAAAACCCAGGAGAGAAGGUGGAUCUAGAAGUAAAAAGAAAUUAGAGUGUUCUUUUAAAACUCAAACGUCAGGGCGCGUACACACCGCCG